CAUCAUACAGCCCUGCAUCGCCAAGCUAUAGUCCCACCUCACCAUCAUAUACACCUGGCUCUCCCACCUACAGUCCCACAAGCCCGAAUUACUCCCCAACAAGUCCGACUUACUCGCCUACCAGUCCAUCAUACUCACCCACAUCUCCGAGUUACAGCCCAACAUCUCCUAGCUACAGUCCUACAUCACCAAGCUACAGCCCUACAUCUCCUAGUUAUAGUCCUACAUCACCAAGUUACAGCCCCACCUCACCAGUUUAUAGCCCUACAUCUCCAGCAUACAGCCCUACAUCUCCCGCAUAUAGCCCCACAUCACCAUCUUACAGUCCAACUUCGCCAUCUUAUAGCCCUACAUCACCAUCAUACAGCCCAACAUCCCCCUCAUACAGCCCUACCUCCCCCUCAUACAGCCCUACCUCCCCCUCAUACAGCCCUACCUCCCCCUCGUACAGCCCAACAUCACCUGCAUACAGCCCUACUUCGCCAGGAUACAGCCCAACAUCACCGAGCUACAGUCCUACUUCUCCGAGCUACAGUCCUACUUCUCCGAGCUACAAUCCUUCAUCAGCCAAGUACAGCCCUUCGCAUGCAUACUCUCCAAGCAGCCCCCGGAUGACUCCAUAUAGUCAGAC
This 631-nucleotide long non-coding RNA is filed under the name Sorghum bicolor (sorghum). RNAcentral describes it as "long non-coding RNA (SBIC_LNC011641)". The record is from RNAcentral. Lineage: Eukaryota; Viridiplantae; Streptophyta; Magnoliopsida; Poales; Poaceae.